AUCUAGCCCCGAUGGAAACGGCAUCCUUUUGUUUUGCGCGAGGCGGCGGAGCGAAGCGGAGCCGACCGAGCAGCAAAACAAAAGAUACAGUGGACAGCGGGUUACCAA
Molecule: small RNA, 108 nt
Filed under: Epilithonimonas bovis DSM 19482
Lineage: Bacteria; Pseudomonadati; Bacteroidota; Flavobacteriia; Flavobacteriales; Weeksellaceae
Description: Chryseobacterium bovis DSM 19482 Flavo-1 RNA
Rfam family: Flavo-1 RNA
Source: RNAcentral